Transfer RNA from Tulasnella calospora, 84 nucleotides. It matches the Rfam family "tRNA". Rfam says of the family: Transfer RNA (tRNA) molecules are approximately 80 nucleotides in length. Their secondary structure includes four short double-helical elements and three loops (D, anti-codon, and T loops). NCBI's taxonomy places the organism in Eukaryota, Fungi, Basidiomycota, Agaricomycetes, Cantharellales, Tulasnellaceae. The record is from Rfam.
GCUUCGGUAGCGUAGCCGGUAGCGCGUCAGUCUCAUAUAACCUGUGCGAUCUGAAGGCCGUGAGUUCGAUCCUCACCCGGAGCA